This 492-nucleotide ribosomal RNA is filed under the name uncultured bacterium. Its description in RNAcentral is "partial 16S ribosomal RNA". It matches the Rfam family "Bacterial small subunit ribosomal RNA", at positions 29 to 507 of the family's 1533-position model. The record is from RNAcentral.
AGUGAACGCUGGCGGUAGGCCUAACACAUGCAAGUCGAACGGCAGCACAGUAAGAGCUUGCUCUUACGGGUGGCGAGUGGCGGACGGGUGAGGAAUACAUCGGAAUCUACUUUUUCGUGGGGGAUAACGUAGGGAAACUUACGCUAAUACCGCAUACGACCUACGGGUGAAAGCAGGGGAUCUUCGGACCUUGCGCGAUUGAAUGAGCCGAUGUCGGAUUAGCUAGUUGGCGGGGUAAAGGCCCACCAAGGCGACGAUCCGUAGCUGGUCUGAGAGGAUGAUGAGCCACACUGGAACUGAGACACGGUCCAGCCUCCUACGGGAGGCACCAGUGGGGAAUAUUGGACAAUGGGCGCAAGCCUGAUCCAGCCAUACCGCGUGGGUGAAGAAGGCCUUCGGGUUUUAAAGCCCUUUUGUUGGGAAAGAAAAGCAGCAGGUUAAUACCCCGCUGUUCUGACGGUACCCAAAGAAUAAGCACCGGCUAACUUCGUG